AAGCGGCAACAGCUCAAAUUUGAAAUCUGGCGCCCCCGGCGUCCGAGUUGUAAUUUGCAGAGGAUGCUUCGGCGCAGGCGCCGCCCAAAGUUCCUUGGAACGGGACGUCGCAGAGGGUGAGAGCCCCGUGUUCGGGCGGAUGCCUUCGCCGUGUGAAGCUCCUUCGACGAGUCGAGUUGUUUGGGAAUGCAGCUCAAAACGGGAGGUAAAUUUCUUCCAAAGCUAAAUACCGGCCGGAGACCGAUAGUGCACAAGUAGAGUGAUCGAAAGAUGAAAAGCACUUUGGAAAGAGAGUCAAACAGCGCGUGAAAUUGUUAAAAGGGAAGCGCUUGCGGUCAGAACUUGGCCGCCGUUGCUCGGGGGGGCCCUCGCGCCCCCCUCGCUCUUCGGCGGCUGGGCCAGCAUCGGUUCGGGCGGCUCGAGAAAGGCCGCGGGAACGUAGCUCCCUCCGGGGAGUGUUAUAGCCCGCGGCGCAAUGGAGCCCGCCUGGACCGAGGUCUGCGCAUCCGCUCGGAUGCUGGCGUAAUGGCCCCAAGCGGCCCGUCUUGAAACACGGACCAAGGAGUCUAACAUUCGUGCGAGUGUUCGGGCGUCAAACCCGUACGCGCAAUGAAAGUGAACGUAGGUGGGAGCCUCUCGCAGGCGCACCAUCGACCGAUCCUAAUGUCUUCGGAUGGAUUUGAGUAUGAGCACGGAUGUUGGGACCCGAAAGAUGGUGAACUAUGCCUAAGCAGGGCGAAGCCAGAGGAAACUCUGGUGGAGGCUCGCAGCGGUUCUGACGUGCAAAUCGAUCGUCGAAUUUGGGUAUAGGGUACGUUGUCACUUUGAAAUCCCCCCGUUCCGCGACCAAUGCUAACACUUCUCUCUAGGGCGAAAGACUAAUCGAACCAUUAACCGGGCCCCGGCGCCGCCGGGGCCGCUACUAGGUGGUUAAGAGGCGGCUAAAAGGGCGCGCCUAGUCCCUCCGUUCGGGGCGACACCGUCAAAUUGCGGGGACCUCCUUAGAGCUUGAGCUACCGCGGCCCGCCGAAAGGCAGGGUGCAGCACCGGGGUAACGACCUAGGGGAUGGUAAAAACGCUCAAGAUUGGACGAUCCGCAGCCAAGUCCUACGUCCCCCCCGGAGGGGGGGAUACGGAUGCUGUUCACAGACUAAAUGGCGGUGGGUCGCCUGCCCCCGCGGCAGGCGGCUUAAGGUAUAGUCGAUCCCCGCGGAAACGCGGGCGGUGGGACGAAGCCGGCGGGUGGAUGGGCGACGCGCGAGCGACGCACCCGCCUGGCCCGAAUCCCNCCGGGGGAAGGGACGUGCCGU
Molecule: ribosomal RNA, 1310 nt
Filed under: fungal endophyte
Lineage: Eukaryota; Fungi
Description: eukaryotic LSU rRNA
Rfam family: Eukaryotic large subunit ribosomal RNA
Source: RNAcentral